UCACAGUCUAGAGACCAGACGUGCACGAUCAGUUUCAGGGGUCCCAAAUCGAAGUGCUGGCGGGGCUACCCUCCCUCUGGAGGCUCUGCGGGAGAGUCCAGUCCUCGCCUCCUCCACUUGGGUGGCUGCUGGCACUCCUUGGCUGUGGUCACAUCACUCGAGCCUUUUGGCCACCAUCUCUAAAUCUCUAUCUGCCCCGUCUUCACAUGGCCUUCUCUUCUGUACCUGUGUCAAAUCCAUCUCUGCCUUCCUCUUGUAAGGACAUCUGUGAUUACAUUUAGGGCCCGCCUGGAUGAUCCAGGACCGUCUCUCCAUCUCAAGAUCUUUAACUUCGUCGCAUCUGCAAAGACCCUUUUUCCUAGUAAGGUAAUAUUCAUGGGUUCCAGGAAUUAGGAGCUGAUAUCUUUCGGGCCAUUAUUCAACCUAGCACACCCUCUGUUUUCAGUCCCGUGUCCUGACCGUCUGCUUCUGUCCCUAGUGCCUUUAACGCCUUCUAGAAGUUCCAUGAGGGAAGAUUUGCUUCCAAUCCGUAGCCCCCUCUCUCUGGGGACUUGUGUAGCUUUCUCUUCUCUCCUAGGUCAGCACCAUUCCUUCAAUACUCGUCCACAUUCUAAAAAUGUGCUGACAUUUUGCUAUGGUCUGAAUGUUUGUGUCCCCCCAAAAUUCAUAUGUUCAAAUGCUAACCCCUAAAGGUGCCGGUAUUAUGACGUGGUGCCUUUGGGGGGUGAUUGGGUCACAAGGGUGCAGCCCUCACAGAUGAUGGAUGAGUGCCCUGAUAAAAGAGACCCCAGAGAGCUCCCUAACUCCUUCCACCAUGUGAGGACACAACGAGAAGUCUGUGACCGGAAGAGAGCCCCCACCCGACCACGCUGGCACCCUGACCUUGGAUUUCCAGCCUCCAGAGGAGGAGAAAGGAAUUUCUGCUGUUUAUAAACCACCCAGUCUGUGGUAUUUUGCUAUGCUGCCCGAACGGACUAAGACACAUCUCUCCUUGGCAGUCACCGCAUCCCCCUUCUCCUCGUUCUGGAGUAGAUCAGCUCAUCUGGAAAGGAAGUCCUGCACUCCUAGCCAGAUAACCCAGUUCACUCCGGAAUAUAAAAGAAGAGAUGUACAGUUUUUUUAGCUCCGUUUCAUGGUAAGUUAUGUUUAUCCACCUUCUUUCAUUUAACUCUACAGCCCUACCUGGUUCUAUUAUCCAGCUGUCCACCCCCACAGCUGAUCUCUGGUUAGUGUCUUUUCCUUCCUUCAACAAAUGAGGCCACUGAGGCUCAGAGAGGUUAAGUAAUUUGCCCAAGAUCCCACAGCUGGCAAUUGGUAGAUCUGGAAUUUGAACCUAAGGUCAGCUUGACACCGAAGCCCGCUUUGUUCCUG
RNAcentral lists this long non-coding RNA (1371 nucleotides) under Equus caballus (horse). RNAcentral describes it as "lncRNA (ENSECAG00000056311.1)". The record is from RNAcentral. Lineage: Eukaryota; Metazoa; Chordata; Mammalia; Perissodactyla; Equidae.